GACGAACGCUGGCGGCGUGCUUAACACAUGCAAGUCGAACGAAGAGGCGAACGGAUGAGUAAUAUGUGAGUAACCUGCCCUCCUGUUUGGGAUAAGCCUUGGAAACGGGGUCUAAUACCGAAGAAAGGGGGUUGGGCUCGCGGACUAUCAGCUUGUUGGUGGGGUGAUGGCCUACCACGGCGGUGACGGGUGGCGGGCGGGGGAGGGUGACCGGCGAGGUUGGGACUGAGCUACGGCCCUGAGUCACACGGGAGGCAGCAGUGGGGGAUAUUGGACAAGGGGCUAAAGCAGGGUGCGGCGACGUCACGUGGGGGAUGAAGGCUUGCGGGUUGUAAACCUGUGUCGCUAUCGAAUGGGUAGGUGGAGAAGAAGCGCCGGCUAACUACGUGCCAGCAGCCGCGGUAAUUC
This 408-nucleotide ribosomal RNA is filed under the name uncultured bacterium. Its description in RNAcentral is "partial 16S ribosomal RNA". It matches the Rfam family "Bacterial small subunit ribosomal RNA", at positions 28 to 526 of the family's 1533-position model. The record is from RNAcentral.